Molecule: ribosomal RNA, 253 nt
Filed under: uncultured bacterium
Lineage: Bacteria
Description: partial 16S ribosomal RNA
Rfam family: Bacterial small subunit ribosomal RNA
Source: RNAcentral
UACAGAGGUGGCAAGCGUUGUUCGGAAUUACUGGGCGUAAAGGGCGCGUAGGCGGCCAUCUAAGUCAGACGUGAAAUCCCCCGGCUUAACCUGGGAACUGCGUCUGAUACUGGACGGCUAGAGUAUGGGAGAGGGAUGUAGAAUUCCAGGUGUAGCGGUGAAAUGCGUAGAUAUCUGGAGGAACACCGAUGGCGAAGGCAGGUCUCUGGGCCACUACUGACGCUGAGAAGCGAAAGCGUGGGGAGCGAACAGG